GCCUGCAAGAACCCAUGUCUUCUCCCAAUGAAAUGAAAUGUUCUGACUCAGGUUCCAGCUGCUUCUUGUGUCUUUGGAUGAAACUCUGAUCAUCCCUACAGCAACCUGCAGGGAACUUGGAGGGAGGAGCACAGGCUGCAGAAGCAUAUAAGGUAAAGAAGUUCAACAACCCAAAGACUCUCUGCCCCCACCAUGCAACUGGAAAGAAACACACUGAGGAGAGAAGGCCUAGAAUU
RNAcentral lists this long non-coding RNA (236 nucleotides) under Chrysemys picta bellii (western painted turtle). Its description in RNAcentral is "lncRNA (ENSCPBG00000025464.1)". Lineage: Eukaryota; Metazoa; Chordata; Testudines; Emydidae. The record is from RNAcentral.